This 492-nucleotide ribosomal RNA is filed under the name Triticum aestivum (bread wheat). Its description in RNAcentral is "partial small subunit ribosomal RNA". Lineage: Eukaryota; Viridiplantae; Streptophyta; Magnoliopsida; Poales; Poaceae. The record is from RNAcentral.
AUGUUUACUUUUGGGGAAGGUAUUAUAAAGAAUCUUACCAAAGGAAAGGGUGACCCAUCGGCGAUUUUUUCUUUCAACAUCAAUGGGUAUUCUGUGUUGCACACGGCGGCAUGUUUUGCACAACUGGAUGUUUGCAAGUAUUUGGUGGAGGAGCUUAAUGGAGAUGUAAAUGCUCCUGGAUAUGGAGGUGCAACUCCAUUUAUGUUGUCAGCCUCGUCUGAUGAUGUUGCUACAGUCAAGUAUUUUCUUGAUCAUGGUGGUGAUAUAUUGAAAGCAGAUGACAAAGGACGCACAGUUCUCCACCAUGCUGUGGCUGCAGGAUGCUGCAACGUGACAGAGUUCCUCCUUUCAAAAGGAGUUCCAAUCGACAUAAACUAUGGCCGUGGAACACCAGCAUUUGUGGCUGCUGCAAAUGGGAAGGAUAACACACUGAAGAUUUUGUUGGAUCACAACGCAAAUGUAUAUUGCCUUCACUUUUUUUAUUUCUCUUGA